UGGGGAAUAUUGCACAAUGGGGGGAACCCUGAUGCAGCAACGCCGUGUGAAGGAAGAAGUGUUUCGGCACGUAAACUUCUAUCGACAGGGAAGAAAAAAAUGACGGUACCUGAAUAAGAAGCACCGGCUAAAUACGUGCCAGCAGCCGCGGUAAUACGUAUGGUGCAAGCGUUAUCCGGAAUUACUGGGUGUAAAGGGUGAGUAGGCGGUUAUAUAAGUCAUAUGUGAAAGACUGAGGCUCAACCACAGAGUUGCAUAAGAAACUAUAUAACUAGAGUGCAGGAGAGGUAAGCGGAAUUCCUAGUGUAGCGGUGGAAUGCGUAGAUAUUAGGAAGAACACCGGUGGCGAAGGCGGCUUACUGGACUGAAACUGACGCUGAGUCACGAAAGCGUGGGGAGCGAACAG
Molecule: ribosomal RNA, 406 nt
Filed under: uncultured bacterium
Lineage: Bacteria
Description: bacterial SSU rRNA
Rfam family: Bacterial small subunit ribosomal RNA
Source: RNAcentral